UACGUAGGCAGCGAGCGUUUGUUCGGAGUUACUGGGCGUAAAGCGUGCGUAGGCGGUGUCUUAAGUUUGUUGUGAAAUCUCCCGGCUUAACCGGGAGGGUGCGGCGAAUACUGAGAUGCUGGAGUGCCGGAGAGGUAAGCGGAAUUCCUGGUGUAGCGGUGAAAUGCGUAGAUAUCAGGAGGAACACCUGCGGUGUAGACGGCUUACUGGACGGUAACUGACGCUGAGGCACGAAAGCGUGGGUAGCAAACAGG
This 254-nucleotide ribosomal RNA is filed under the name uncultured bacterium. RNAcentral describes it as "partial 16S ribosomal RNA". It matches the Rfam family "Bacterial small subunit ribosomal RNA", at positions 524 to 776 of the family's 1533-position model. The record is from RNAcentral.